AGCAUAUCAAUAAGCGGAGGAAAAGAAACCAACAGGGAUUGCCCUAGUAACGGCGAGUGAAGCGGCAACAGCUCAAAUUUGAAAUCUGGCUUCGGCCCGAGUUGUAAUUUGCAGAGGAUGUUUCUGGCGCGGUGCCUUCCGAGUUCCCUGGAACGGGACGCCACAGAGGGUGAGAGCCCCGUAUGGUUGGACACCAAGCCUGUGUGAAACUCCUUCAACGAGUCGAGUAGUUUGGGAAUGCUGCUCUAAAUGGGAGGUAAAUCUCUUCUAAAGCUAAAUACCGGCCAGAGACCGAUAGCGCACAAGUAGAGUGAUCGAAAGAUGAAAAGCACCUUGAAAAGGGGGUUAAAUAGUACGUGAAAUUGUUGAAAGGGAAGCACUUAU
RNAcentral lists this ribosomal RNA (384 nucleotides) under Phomopsis sp. RNAcentral's name for it is "eukaryotic LSU rRNA". It matches the Rfam family "Eukaryotic large subunit ribosomal RNA", at positions 37 to 426 of the family's 3401-position model. Lineage: Eukaryota; Fungi; Ascomycota; Sordariomycetes; Diaporthales; Diaporthaceae. The record is from RNAcentral.